CGAGACUCGGAGAUCUUCCUCACUCCCACCUCACCAGAUUUCAUCCUGCCCCACCAGCCCGUCGGACCCAUUGCCAAGCCACCCUGUCCACAUUUGCGACCUCAGUGGUGACUGACAUGCUGGGCUCUCAGCAGAAAGUCCAGCCCAACCACGGGGGUGUGGGGAACGGGUAGGAAAUCAGCUGGGGCAGUGGCGGUGCUGGAGGGGACGACGGAGGAAGGAGAAAUGGCAGCGGCAGCGGCAGCAACGCCCAGAGAUCUGGGUUGUCAGGGACCUGAGGAGAGGAAAGUAGGCACGCCCUCCCCACCUCCUCUCACCACUCCCAUUGGCCAUCCUGGCCUCUCCCUCACCCCUCCAAGAGCCCAGCGCCCUGGAGUGGAAGCCAGCGCUCCAACCGCGCGUGUGGCAACGAGCGCCUAUGGCCUCACAACGAGCCACGCGGUUGCUAAACGACGGGUCCAUCUGGCUCGGAGAGAGUGGGCACACCCUCUGCCGCUGGCCAGGUGCUUGUGCAGGCGCAUGCUGUGGCCUGCGUACAUCAGUGCGACCUGCAGAUGAAUGAUUGAAAGGAUGAAUGGAGAAGGACGUAAGGAAAGAAGCAAGGAUGGAUGGUUCCGGCUUGGAAGAUGGAGCUGGCCGGAUAGGGCCAGGCUGACCAAGUGGAUCAGGAGCCUAGCACUGACAUCCCUUCCUCAGGUCAUCUUUGAAGGUGCCCCUCACCUGGCCAAGGCUUCGGACCAGCAGUUGGAAGAACCGCCCCUUCCAUCCCAAGAGACACCUUUGCAAACCCAAGAACGCCGGAAGACCUUAUCGGGAACUCUUUGGACACUCGCAGGGAAGGGGCCCAAAGAGCUCCAAGAAGGUGCUAUGGCGCCAUGCUCCCCCAGCCCCCUUCCCCAGCGCUCAGACUUGAUCUUACCAUGGUGCCAUGAUCAGGAAGAGGAAUAUCAUUUUGGGACAAGUGGACAGACUCAUCCGCGUACUGGAUGGCAAAUUCACGAUUGAUUCACUUGCAGUUUAGCUCUUUGUUUUGUCCUUCCAACACUCCACGUCCCUGCUUCCAGUCUUUCGACUGGGAAGGAGGUCCCUGGGUUGGGGCGGGGGGGGGUGCGUGUCGGUGGAAGGUCUUCGUGUUGGGGAGCAUUCCUUCGAAGGGGCUCUCUCUGCAUUUUUCUUUCAACUCACCCUCUCUGUACAUGUCUCAGACCUUGAGGUAGCGAUCAGCACAUUUCCUCUUCCAAUCUCAGAUGGGAUAUUCUUGGUGGUGAUGCCUGCGGGGGUGGUUCUUGUGGCCCAAAGGAUGGCUUGGGGUCCCUGUCAGUCUUGGAAUCUCGAAAUACUGCCUCAGAAACACUCAGGCUCUCUCUCCAUCUUUCCUUCCUGGACCCCAAAUCCAUACAUGCCCAUCUUGAUGUUUCUGCUCUCUGUGCUUGCUCCAUGAUUCUCUCCUCCUCCUCGAGGCCGCACGUGUUGUCCGGCACAGGGUUCCCACUCCCUUCAGCUGUGUCUAAUCUCCUCUGAAAUCCUUCUGCUCGGGUCCUUGCAUCCUUCUUUGGAAUCGAGGUUGGGCCCUGUCUGCCAAAACCAGACUGGGGAGGAGAUCAAGGUGAUCCCUCUGCCACCUGGUUCCCCCAAGGCCUCAUUUCUCCUGCCAAAAAGAAGCAUGGUCUCACAGCACAACUUGGACCUUCAAACUCCAGGGGGAGGAAAACCCUUGUCAAGCCAGAAGGUUGAGAAUGACCCGCCAAAGGAGUUUGCCACACAAGGCAGGCCCCACAGGCCACAAGAACCCACCGGGCAGGCUCUUCCAUCAGCAAGUCCCACCCUCUUCUCUGGAGUCAGGACACCCAUGUUUCCCUGCUGCGUAGGGCACUCGUUUGUGAGAAAUCGGCAACUAGGCACUAAGAAAGGCCCUCCCCUGGCCCUCUCCCUGAGUGCACGGAUGCGAGGCAGACAGAGGCGAGCACCACAUGGCUUGCUGCUCUGUCCAAAGGAGGCUGGCCGUGGCUGCCACCUGGGCCAAGACUCUCAGCAGGACAACUCUGGAGGAAAGAGCCGUGAGGACUGAGAGUUUUCUG
Molecule: long non-coding RNA, 2078 nt
Organism: Equus asinus (donkey)
Lineage: Eukaryota; Metazoa; Chordata; Mammalia; Perissodactyla; Equidae
Source: Ensembl